Rattus norvegicus (Norway rat) is the source of this 2639-nucleotide non-coding RNA. Lineage: Eukaryota; Metazoa; Chordata; Mammalia; Rodentia; Muridae. The record is from RefSeq and is a predicted model, not a curated record.
CGUUCACAUUCGUCAAUGUCUGAAAGGUAAAAACGUGAGAUUCAUUAAAGCACCCUGAGGAAAACACGUUCACACAUAUAGUACGGGAGAAGGGCCCCUAGAAGUCAGGUGUGUGCCGUAAACGUAAAGACACACCCAAUCAGAAAUGGGAAAAGCUUUAUCUUUUGCUUCAAUGUAAAAAUUAAGUAACUUUUACUGUCACUGCAGUAAACCACUGAAAAAUUUUCAUGUACAAGAUGAUAGCUCACAAGAGGUGAUCAAUAUAACUCUUCCCUUAUAUCACCAUAGACCUGGGUUCAUACACUGUUGUCAGUUAUUUUAGUGUUUAUGGCUUGAACCCAACUACAAAAAAUUUUCUUAAAACUCCCGAAUGUUUACAAUUGGAAUGUCCAACCUCUGGCCCUUGGCUACAUGCAGCCCAAGACAGUUAUAAGUCCAGCCCAGCUCACUGUAGGGACAAUCCCCUGUUGCAAAGUGAAAAGGCUGGACCCCCUACAGUGGCAGCAUCUUAAGUGCCAUAAGUCACUCACGUGAAAUAGUGACCCAAACAUUUUUCAGUAUCACAACUCUAAGACACAGCUCUCAUGGAACUGGCAAGGCAGAAUACAAACUUAGGGCCAGCACAAGGCUAAUUGUUUUAAAUAAAUGCAUCCUGGGUAGUCUGUGUGCUGCUUCCAGCCUGGGGAAGGGAUUCUGUAGCCCUUCGUUCUCGGCACACGCCCUGUCGAGGGUGCUGCCAUAGCCUUGAAGCCAGCAGAGGCACAGCAGACGAGUAUAUACAGUUGUCAGGUUCCAGGCCAGCCAGGAGGGUCUGGCCAUGCUUACCCAUGCAAUUCUUCAUCAUCAUGAAGCCGCUCUCGUAGCCCUCAAAGCACUCGCAGUCAAAGCUGCCUGGCGUGUUGACACAGAUGCCACUGCCACAGAGGUCAGGGGAGAUCCUGCACUCAUCAAUGUCUGCCCACGAGUUCAAAAGAAAAGAAAAAAAGAAAAACACAGAAUGAGGUAAGAGAGUGCUGGAGGGACGGGGCCUUCUAGGAGAGGGUGCUGCACAUUUGAAACUUUGGGAAAUCAGGGCUGAGAGUAGCAAGAAAUGUUCUGAAGAGAUAGGGACGAGGGGGACCAGGCCUUCAUCAGGCACAUUCCUUUCUCCAACUGUCAAAACUGUCAUGGUCAACCGGCAGGUGGGGCCUGUGUGUCUUUGAGUUCUGAAAUGUGGCCUUCUCUUUGUGGCUUAGAUGUAGUAACAGAGAAGAAACCACACGACUCCUACGUGGCCCAAGUGAGGAGACAGUGAGUUCACAUGGGAGGAAGCCACAGGUGGGCUCUCACUGGCCUGAAGCAUCCUAUGAGGACCUCACAGAGAUCCACCUGCCUUUAUCUGUCAAAUGCUGAAUGAGAUUCCAGCGCACCAGGCUCAUUGUCUUUUUGAUGAACUAUAAUUGAAGUCUUCAUUAGCAAUGGACAAUUUGCACUUUGGUAGGCCCAGUUGCAGUUUCCGAUUUCAAUUUUUAUUUAUUUCUCCAGUCACCAGCCACACCCAAAACUUGACACGAAUGGCCCUGCGAUUUCUGGUGACUGGUGUUCAGCCUCCUAUGGGGAACAAGUGAACCCUGUGGUAAGCAGGGCCCAGCUUUGGGUCAAUAUAAACUCGUAGGAGCACCACAUGGUACAAGUAUGGACUCUGUGACAAGACGCCCAAGGACAGCCCAGUCUUUCAUCUUUCAUGGUUUUGGAAAAAUCCAAUCAUUUUCUUCAUCUUAUUUUUCCUAUCUACAGCAGGGCUCAUCUCCAGAACGAAGGGAGUCAAGCAUCAAACACGGCACAUACACAUUGCUAUAUAAGCAUGAUCCAUUCCCUGCUAGGAGCUGGCAUUUUGAAAGGCAAGGCUUUCAUACUGAACCCGAAGGUUGUAUAGAAAUUCUAACUUUCAAGAUGUGGAAUCAAUCGCUGGACAAGCGGAGACAAGCACGUAGAUGAGUAGUGACUGGUUUUCCAGAAGUGGCUGGCUGCAGAGACUGACAAUCAAGGCAGGCAGGAUGGGGACUGAUUACCCAGAAUGCCUCCAGUUAACAAGAGUGGGAACCAAUAGCAUUGCAGGGGAUUCAUUCCUUCUCUGUUCUUAAACAAGGCAGCGCUAGUAAUAGCUAUCUCUCUCCAGCAGUAGAGGUGCCUGUUUGUGAGGUUAAGAAACUUGUCUAAUUGCACAUUACUAACAAGGAAAGGCCGAGGCUAGAAGAGCCUCAGUUGCUCUGUCCAUACAGGUCCAGGAUGGCCUGGGUCAAAAAUGGUAUUUCUCAAGGGUCAGCCUGAAAACUCCCAUGGUUGCAAAAAUGAAGGAUUUGGCUGAGGAAUGCAAUAGACCAGAAGGCACUGGUAGGUCUGCCGUGUGGCAGAGACUGAUACAUAGACAAAGACCACUCUAGGAGGAAAGGCUCUCUUCUUCCUGCACUCUGUUCUGGGGUACAGAGCUGGGAGACUGCUCUUAGAUGCCAUCUAUCUUUAGGCCAUGGUCAAGAUGCUUCAGCAACUGUCCAAACCGCAAUAUAGUUAGCCGGCUAAGAAAAGGGUAAAAAGUGGAAGGCAGAAGGCAGGAUAGCAGGUGGGGGGCAGGUAAGGGCAACGGCUGCCCUUGGGCAAAA